CCUACGGGAGGCAGCAGUGGGGAAUAUUGGGCAAUGGGCGCAAGCCUGACCCAGCAACGCCGCGUGAAGGAAGAAGGCUUUCGGGUUGUAAACUUCUUUUCUCAGGGACGAAGCAAGUGACGGUACCUGAGGAAUAAGCCACGGCUAACUACGUGCCAGCAGCCGCGGUAAUACGUAGGUGGCAAGCGUUAUCCGGAUUUACUGGGUGUAAAGGGCGUGUAGGCGGGAAAGUAAGUCAGAUGUGAAAACCAUGGGCUCAACCUGUGGCCUGCAUUUGAAACUGUUUUUCUUGAGUGCUGGAGAGGCAGACGGAAUUCCUAGUGUAGCGGUGAAAUGCGUAGAUAUUAGGAGGAACACCAGUGGCGAAGGCGGUCUGCUGGACAGCAACUGACGCUGAGGCGCGAAGGCGUGGGGAGCGAACAGGAUUAGAUACCCGAGUAGUC
This 443-nucleotide ribosomal RNA is filed under the name uncultured bacterium. Its description in RNAcentral is "partial 16S ribosomal RNA". It matches the Rfam family "Bacterial small subunit ribosomal RNA", at positions 338 to 795 of the family's 1533-position model. The record is from RNAcentral.